GUUCUGCAAGAUAGUUCCAUUUUUAGGCUGACCUCAGCGUGAAAAUUGGCUACCAUAGCCCCAAGCCUCAUAUAUCAUUGCCUGUGGUAUCCUUCCAUGAACCAGUUCCUAAAGGAUUUCAGACAGCCAAGACCUACUAUACCUAGGGAUACAGUUUUUUGAUAGAGUGUUCCCUAGCAUGAAUCAGACACUGGGUCAAUUCUCAGUACCCCAUAACCAGAUCUAUAGAGAUGGACAGUGGUUAAGAGCACACAAAUGCCGGGCAGUGGUGGUGCACACCUUUAAUCCUUGGGAGGCAGAGGCAGGCGGAUUCCUGAGUUCAGGGCUAGCCAGGGCUAUACAGAGAAACCCUGUCUCGAAAAAAAAAAAAAAAAAAGAGUACACAAAUCACCCAAGGAGCUGAAGGGGUUUGCAACCCCAUAGAAGGAACAAUAAUAUGAACCAACCAGUAUCUCCAGAGCUUCCUGGUACUAGACCACCAAACAAAGAAAACACAUGGUGGGACUCAUGGCUCCAGCUGCAUGUGUAACAGAGGAUGGCCUAGUUGGUCAUCAAUGGGAGGAGAGGCCCUUGGUCCUGUGAAGGUUAUAUGCCCAGUAUAGGGGACUGCCAGGGCCAGGAAAAGGGAGUGGGUGGGUUGGUGAGCAGGGGAAGUGGGGGAAAGGAUAGAGGGUUUUCAGAGGGGAAACUAGGAAAGGGGAUAACAUUUGAAAUGUAAAUAAAGAAAAAUCUAAUUUUUAAAAAAAAAAAAAGAU
This 755-nucleotide long non-coding RNA is filed under the name Mus musculus (house mouse). Its description in RNAcentral is "long non-coding RNA chr3:65275739-65276494". The record is from RNAcentral. Lineage: Eukaryota; Metazoa; Chordata; Mammalia; Rodentia; Muridae.